This 750-nucleotide ribosomal RNA is filed under the name uncultured bacterium. Its description in RNAcentral is "bacterial SSU rRNA". It matches the Rfam family "Bacterial small subunit ribosomal RNA", at positions 57 to 839 of the family's 1533-position model. The record is from RNAcentral.
GCAGUCGAACGGGAAGCCGGUGCUUGCACCGGUGGAGAGUGGCGAACGGCCUGAGUAACACGUAGGAACCUACCCCUCGGACCGGGAUAACGGAGCGAAAGCACCGCUAAUACCGGAUAUAUUCUUCGGAAGGAAACGGUCCGCUGCCGGGGGAAGGGCCUGCGGCGUAUUAGCUUGAUGGUGAGGUAACGGCUCACCAUGGCAAUGAUGCGUAGCUGGUCUGAGAGGACGAUCAGCCAGACUGGGACUGCGACGCGGCCCAGACUCCUACGGGAGGCAGCAGUUCAGAAUCUUGCCCAAUGGACGAAAGUCUGAGGCAGCCAUGCCGCGUGUGCGAAGAAGGCCCUCGGGUCGUAAAGCACUGUCAGGAGGGAAGAUAGUGACGGUACCUCCAGAGGAAGCCACGGCUAAUUCCGUGCCAGCAGCCGCGGUAAUACGGAAGUGGCGAGCGUUAUCCGGAAUCACUGGGCGUAAAGCGUUCGUAGGCGGCUGGGUAAGUCGGAUUUGAAAGCCCGGGGCUCAACUCCGGAACUGGAUCCGAAACUACCCUGCUUGAGCGGAUCAGAGGGCAGUGGAAUUCCCGGUGUAACGGUAAUAUGCGUAGAGAUCGGGAGGAACACCUGUGGCGAAGGCGGCUGCCUGGGGUCCUGCUGACGCUGAGGAACGAAAGCCAGGGGAGCGAACGGGAUUAGAUACCCCGGUAGUCCUGGCUGCAAACGAUGGGCACUAGGUGUCGGGGGCUUCGACCCC